UAUCUCUCUGUGAAACAUUCCAAGAGUUGCGCAACAGCUGAGUUAAGAAUUCUCUGGUCUCCUUCUCCUUUCUCCGGUCUUCUUGAUGUUCACGGUGAAAUUGCUCCUGUUUCCUUCAUCCUCACGUGAAAGUGACAAGAAGUCUCCAAGCUUUUCACUGUCUAGUCACUGCCUGGAGAAAGGUA
Non-coding RNA from Solanum lycopersicum (tomato), 185 nucleotides. The record is from RefSeq and is a predicted model, not a curated record. Lineage: Eukaryota; Viridiplantae; Streptophyta; Magnoliopsida; Solanales; Solanaceae.